RNAcentral lists this ribosomal RNA (477 nucleotides) under uncultured bacterium. RNAcentral's name for it is "partial 16S ribosomal RNA". It matches the Rfam family "Bacterial small subunit ribosomal RNA", at positions 30 to 507 of the family's 1533-position model. The record is from RNAcentral.
AUUGAACGCUGGCGGCAUGCCUUACACAUGCAAGUCGAACGGUAACAGGUUAAGCUGACGAGUGGCGAACGGGUGAGUAAUGUAUCGGAACGUGCCCAGUCGUGGGGGAUAACUGCUCGAAAGAGCAGCUAAUACCGCAUACGACCUGAGGGUGAAAGCGGGGGAUCGCAAGACCUCGCGCGAUUGGAGCGGCCGAUAUCAGAUUAGGUAGUUGGUGAGGUAAAGGCUCACCAAGCCGACGAUCUGUAGCUGGUCUGAGAGGACGACCAGCCACUCUGGGACUGAGACACGGCCCAGACUCCUACGGGAGGCAGCAGUGGGGAAUUUUGGACAAUGGGCGCAAGCCUGAUCCAGCCAUGCCGCGUGCGGGAAGAAGGCCUUCGGGUUGUAAACCGCUUUUGUCAGGGAAGAAAAGGUUCUGGCUAAUACCUGGGACUCAUGACGGUACCUGAAGAAUAAGCACCGGCUAACUACGUG